RNAcentral lists this microRNA (22 nucleotides) under Saccoglossus kowalevskii. RNAcentral's name for it is "Sko-Mir-4838_5p* (star (passenger))". The record is from RNAcentral. Lineage: Eukaryota; Metazoa; Hemichordata; Enteropneusta; Harrimaniidae.
AACUGAUACAAGUAGGAUUGUC